Molecule: small RNA, 4610 nt
Filed under: Pongo abelii (Sumatran orangutan)
Lineage: Eukaryota; Metazoa; Chordata; Mammalia; Primates; Hominidae
Description: retained intron
Source: RNAcentral
GCUAGCGCAUGAAGCGCGGGAACUGGGUUGCUGGGCGGUCGAAGAGAUGGGGGUACCCGUAGCGGCCCGGGCCCCGGAAUCGACGCUACGCAGGCUGUGUCUGGGCCAAGGGGCUGACAUCUGGGCCUACAUCUUGCAGCAUGUGCACAGUCAGAGGUAAGCUGGGCUAGAGCAGGGGAGGGAGCACAGGUGAGGCCCAUAGUAACUCCUCUUUCUGCCUCUGCACUGUAGGACUGUGAAGAAGAUCCGGGGAAACCUACUCUGGUAACUGCUUCUUAAAGCUAUCCCCUCCUAUCUUCCCCACUCCCAUUUAGCCCUGUCCCCACCACAGCAUCACACCUGUUGCCCUUCCCCCUGGAAGCCCCACUCAUCCACUGACUCUGGCCUUGUUUUCCUAGGUAUGGCCACCAGGACAGUCCACAGGUCCGUCGGAAGUUAGAGCUGGAAGCUGCUGUGACCCGCCUGCGGGCAGAAAUCCAGGAGCUCGACCAGAGCCUGGAGCUGAUGGAGCGAGACACUGAGGCUCAGGGUGAGUCACGGGGCCAGAAGAUAGGCACCAGGAUGUGGGGUGGGAAAGGUGCUGAUGGCCACCCCUGUUCCUCCCACAGACAUGGCCAUGGAGCAGGCACUUCAGCACACUCAAGACACCCAGCGUCGAGCUCUCCUCCUCCGGGCCCAAGCUGGGGCCAUGCGAAGACAGCAGCAUAGGCUCCGAGAUCCCAUGCAGCGGCUGCAGAAUCAAUUGAGGCACCUGCAGGACAUGGAGAGGAAAGCCAAAGUAGAUGUGACCUUUGGAUCCCUGACAUCGGCAGCUCUCGGCCUGGAGCCCGUGGUCCUGCGUGAUGUCCGAACAGCCUGCACCCUCCGGGCCCAGUUCCUGCAGAACCUCCUGCUUCCCCAGGCCAAGAGGGGCAGCCUCCCAACCCCUCAUGAUGACCACUUUGGCACUUCCUACCAGCAGUGGCUGAGCUCCGUGGAGACGCUGCUGACAAACCACCCCCCAGGCCACGUCCUGGCUGCCUUGGAGCACCUGGCUGCAGAGCGGGAGGCAGAGAUUCGGUCCCUGUGCAGUGGGGAUGGGCUUGGCGAUACAGAGAUAUCCAGACCCCAGGCCCCGGACCAGUCAGACUCCAGCCAGACCCUGCCGUCCAUGGUUCAUCUCAUCCAGGAGGGCUGGCGGACUGUGGGUGUGCUGGUCUCCCAGCGGAGCGCCCUCCUGAAGGAGCGGCAAGUCUUGACCCAGCGCCUCCAGGGCCUGGUGGAGGAGGUGGAGAGAUGCGUCCUGGGAUCCAGUGAGAGGCAGGUGCUGAUACUGGGGCUUCGGCGCUGUGGCCUGUGGACGGAGCUCAAGGCCCUGCACACUCAGAGCCAGGAGCUGGAGGAUGCAGCCGGGCAUCGGCAGCUCCUGCUGAGGGAGCUACAGGCCAAACAGCAGCGGAUCCUGCACUGGCGCCAGCUGGUGGAGGAGACCCAGGAACAGGUCCGCCUGCUCAUCAAGGGAAACUCGGCCAGCAAGACCCGCCUGUGCCGGAGUCCAGGGGAGGUGCUAGCUCUGGUCCAGCGAAAGGUGGUCCCUACAUCUGAGGCAGUGGCACCGCAGAGCCGGGAGCUGCUGCGCUGUCUGGAGGAGGAAGUCCGGCAUUUGCCCCACAUUCUGUUGAGCACACUGCUGCGGCACAGCCCGGGAGAGUUGAAGCCUCUGCCCACGGUCCUCCCAUCCAUCCACCAGCUGCACCCCGCGUCCCCAAGGGGCUCCAGCUUCAUAGCGCUGAGCCACAAGCUGGGGCUGCCCCCAGGGAAGGUGAGUGCCUGUCUCCUGUGACUUGUCUCCCCAGCCCCACCCCAGGUAACCGUUGUUCCCUCCUCAUCUAGGCCUCGGAGCUGCUCCUGCCAGCGGCUGCCUCUCUUCGCCAGGACCUUCUGUUCCUGCAGGACCAGCAGAGCCUCUGGUGUUGGGAUCUACUCCACAUGAAGACCAGCCUGCCGCCAGGCCCUCCCACCCAGGAGCUGCUGCAGAUCCAGGCAUCCCAGGAAAAACAACAGAAAGAGAACCUGGGGCAGGCUCUGAAGAGGCUGGAGAAGCUGCUGAAACAGGCGCUGGAGCGAAUCCCUGAGCUGCAGGGGAUCGUGGGGGACUGGUGGGAGCAGCCAGGCCAGGCCGCCCUCUCUGAGGAGCUCUGCCAGGGCCUGUCCCUGCCCCAGUGGCGGCUGCGCUGGGUUCAGGCCCAGGGGGCCCUGCAGAAGUUGUGCAGCUGAAGAGAGGGUUCAAACGGAAGCCGAGAACUUGACACUGUUCACCUCAACACCUCACCUCCCCCAGGACAUUUGGAAGAAAGCAGCGCCAGGAUUCCUCGGCAGUCGUCCCCACCCGCACCUGCAGUCCCCUCAUGUGCUGUUCUGCUGCCCCGCUCAGCUCCUGGCCCCUGUCCUUUCAUCCCGCUAAAGCACCCCCUGAAACCCCUUCAUCACUUUCAUUCUCAGCAAAAAGUAAUUGAGCACCUCCUCUAGGCACUGGGGAGUCCACACUGAACAAAAGAGACAGAAAACCCUGUCUUCCAGAAGUUGAGUUCUAGGGCAGGGAGAUAGAAUUUACAAGAUAAGGAAAAUAUAUAUGUAGUAUGCUGCAAGUUAACUGCUGUGUGGGAAAUCCAGCAGGGGGUGGGAUGUGUGAUUUGAAUUGAGGGCCACACUGCCCAGGUCGCACUCCGUCAAGGGGUGAGCAGGAGCAACGGGGGUGGCUGAGGAAGGGCUUGCAGCUCGAGGCAACAGCACAUGCAAAGGUCCUGAGCCAGGAUGUGCUGGAAUAAGGGCCAUUGAGGGGGACAGUAUAGGUUGGGGGUAAGGAAUGUAUUAAAAGAUGAGAUUGCCUUCUAGUUUGUAUAGUUUCUUUUUUUACAUGUAAAUCAGCCAUUUGGAAUUUAUCCUAGCACAUGGAUCCAAUUUUGUCUUGUUUUACAUAUAUCCUAGUAGCACUUACUGAAAUUCCCAGUCAGAGUGGCAGUUGCCUCUGAGGGAAGGUGGGUGGCAGGGAUCAACUGAGGAGGAGACACAGAAACGUCCUAGCUGAUGGGAAUGUACUGUGUCGAGAGCAGCGGCGGUGACGCAGGUGUAGAGAUUUGUCAGAGCUCAUCUAGUUGUAGUCUUAAGGCCUGUACAUUUCACUGCGUGGGUUACUCAAUUUAUAAAGAAAAGCCUUACACUUUUGAGAUGCCGCCUUUUUAUGCACUAAAUUUCCAUGUUUAUAUCUGGCCUCUCUCCAGACCUGCUUUGUAUUUAACUCUCCAUGUGUCAUUCCCACAGUAGCUUAAUAGAAAGGCUUGUGACAAUUGUCAUAUCUGUUCUUUUCUUUUGGUUUUUUUUUUUUGAGAUGGAGUCUCAUUCUGUUGCCCAAGUUGGAGUGCAGUGGCAUGAUCUCAGCUCACUGCAACCUCCGCCUCCCAGGUUCAAGCCAUUCUUAUGCCUCAGCCUCCCCAGUACCUAGGAUUACAGGUACGCACCACCACGCCCAGCUCAUUUUUGUACUUUUAGUAGGGACAGGGUUUCAUCAUGUUGGCCAGACUGGUCUCGAACUCCUGACCUCAAGUGAUCUGCCUGCCUCGGCCUCCCAAAGUGCUGGGAUUACAGGCAUGAACCACCACACCCGACCACAUUGCCAUAUCUGAAAUGGCUGGAUUCUCUUAGAUGCUUUUUCUUUUUCUUUCUUUUCUCUUCUCUUCUCUUUUCUUUUCUUUCUUUUUUUUUGAGACAGAAUCUGGCUGUUUCCCAGGCUGAAGUGCAGUAGCACAAACUCAGCUCACUGCAACCUCUGCCUCCUGGAUUCAAGCAAUUCUCAUGUCUCAGCCUCCUGAAUAGCUGGGAUUACAGGCACCCACCACCAUGUCUGGCUAAUAUUUGUAUUUUUUGUAGAGUCGGAGCUUUACCAUGUUGGCCAGGCUGCUCUCCAACUCCUGGCCUCAAGUGAUUCUAUCGCCUCUGCCUCCCAAAUCUUCACCUGCUGGGAUUACAGUUUCCCCUGUCUCAGUAAAUUUUUUUUCCCAAACUAAGUGAACAUUAGAUUUAAUUUGCUUGGCCCCAGAAGAAAAACAUGCACAGAUGGUAGUUUUACUGGUGUUGCAGUAAGUUUUCAAAUUUGGAAGUUUGGCAGCUUUAUGAUCUUGAACCUUGCUGUCCAUCUCUCACACAACUCCUCUCUUGGCCUCCAGAGUCCCUUUACUCUCCCAGCUUUCCUCCUGCCCCUGGCUGCUGUUUCCCAGCCUUUCCACAUUGGCUUUCCCAUGCAGUCCUUAGUGUGUCUGCUCCUCCUCUCCUCAUCACAGUUCCCAGCACCCACCUUCAACUGAACUCAACAAAAUCUUCAACUUCAUACAGUAGUCACAUUGUUAGUAAUAACAUUGGCAUUUUUGAUAAAAUAGACCAUUUAAAUUUUUGAGAUUCUACCUUAUAUUUUUUGAAUUAUAUACUAAAGCAAGUAAGUAGUGAUGUAACGUCAUUGGGGACCAAGAUUUUUAGUGUAAAUGAAAAAAGAUAACAAAUAUAAACUCAAGUAAACACCCUGUAGUCUUUCAUAUGAAUUGGAAAUAUCAGAAUAAAGUCAUGAUUUUUCUCUUUCU